GUCUAUGUCCUUACCACCCUGAAUGCGCCUGGUCUCAUCAGAUCUCGGAAGUCAAGCAGGGUCAGGUGCCUGGUUAGUACUUGGAUGCGAGGGAAUGUCUUGUCUUGGAUA
RNAcentral lists this ribosomal RNA (111 nucleotides) under Jaculus jaculus (lesser Egyptian jerboa). Lineage: Eukaryota; Metazoa; Chordata; Mammalia; Rodentia; Dipodidae. The record is from RNAcentral.